Molecule: ribosomal RNA, 501 nt
Filed under: uncultured bacterium
Lineage: Bacteria
Description: partial 16S ribosomal RNA
Rfam family: Bacterial small subunit ribosomal RNA
Source: RNAcentral
AUUGAACGCUGGCGGCAUGCCUUACACAUGCAAGUCGAACGGCAGCACGGGUGCUUGCACCUGGUGGCGAGUGGCGAACGGGUGAGUAAUACAUCGGAACGUACCUUAUCGUGGGGGAUAACGCAGCGAAAGCUGUGCUAAUACCGCAUACGCCCUGAGGGGGAAAGCGGGGGAUCGCAAGACCUCGCGCGAUUAGAGCGGCCGAUGCCUGAUUAGCUUGUUGGUGGGGUAAAAGCCCACCAAGGCGACGAUCAGUAGCUGGUCUGAGAGGACGAUCAGCCACACUGGGACUGAGGAAAGGCCCAGACUCCUACGGGAGGCAGCAGUGGGGAAUUUUGGACAAUGGGGGCAACCCUGAUCCAGCAAUGCCGCGUGAGUGAAGAAGGCCUUCGGGUUGUAAAGCUCUUUUGUCAGGGAAGAAACACCGGCUCUAACACAGUCCGGGAAUGACGGUACCUGAAGAAUAAGCACCGGCUAACUACGUGCCAGCCGCCGCGGUAA